RNAcentral lists this ribosomal RNA (253 nucleotides) under uncultured bacterium. RNAcentral describes it as "partial 16S ribosomal RNA". It matches the Rfam family "Bacterial small subunit ribosomal RNA", at positions 524 to 776 of the family's 1533-position model. The record is from RNAcentral.
UACGAAGGGGGCUAGCGUUGUUCGGAAUCACUGGGCGUAAAGGGCGCGUAGGCGGCUUUGUAAGUCGGGGGUGAAAGCCUGUGGCUCAACCACAGAAUUGCCUUCGAUACUGCAUGGCUUGAGUCCGGAAGAGGUUAGUGGAACUGCGAGUGUAGAGGUGAAAUUCGUAGAUAUUCGCAAGAACACCAGUGGCGAAGGCGGCUGACUGGUCCGGUUCUGACGCUGAGGCGCGAAAGCGUGGGGAGCAAACAGG